AAGCGAAGGAUAGGGAGGUGCGUCCCUAGCUAGGCCUGCUGGGAGUUACGAUUUCUUAACAGUUUCCAGCCCAUUGGCCGCCGACCUGCGGACUACAAUCCCAGCAUUGUAGUCCCCCCUCGUGGUGCGCAGCCCUGGAGGGAGGGACAGGGCGGUGUGGACUUCGCCCCUUCCUAAGCGAUGUCACACGCUAAUUCUGUGCCACACCCUCGCCAAGGGACUCGGGAGAAGGACUUGAGCGGCAGGUCUGGGCUGGGCGGUGAGGACGGUGUGACGCUGCGAAGUGCACCUUCCUUGCUCAAAUAGGAGGGGUCUGGUCGUCACUGCACAGCCCGCUGCACAUCUCGGUGUCCUCUCCCAUCCACACCGGGGGUUUUUCCAGAGCAUCGCGCCUCUUCCAGCCCAGGGAGCCGCCUAAUGUGCUAAACUCUAUGGGAACUGAGACAUCCAUCUGCUGCGUGGCCGCCCGCGCACAACUUCAGAGCUUUCAAGGGGUGAUGCGGGCGUGGCUCCUUCGUGAAAAUGUCACCCACUACAGCGCCUUUCUUGUGAUAUAGAAGUUGACGUGUGAGAGAGAUUUAUUGGGUUACCCAGGAUCUGCUAACAGCAGAGGAGAAAACCACAAUUCCCAGGCAUAAGAAUCUACCUAAAGAUGAUGGUUUAGAUAUUUUACACUUGAAAUCACCAGCCUCGUCUCAACUGAGUCCUGACUGUCGAGUGUCUCAAAAACACAGUUGGUGACCUGAUCCCUCAGGAACAGGUGGUGCUCCAGCUUUGUGGGAAUGGCUUUCAAGGUACGGAGCACUUGGGCAGCAUUUGAAGUCUAUCAUGUUUUACAUCUCUGCUUUGGAUGGAAAGUUAAUCACCCAUAGCCGUUAGGGAUGUAUCUCAAUAUGCUGGGGCUUAUCCGUUGAAUUUUCCUGUCUGGACAAUGGAAACCCAGAAGAACUUCUACUUGCAGGUAACCUCUUAAUAAUCGACGGCCCUAAGUUCCUUAUGUCCUCAGGAUGGUUCCUUGGAUUCCCAGAUGGUACCAGCUUUCAUGAUGCAUCUAAUCUGUACAAACCUGGGUAUUACUCUAUGUGAAAAGAAUACUUUGUUCAUAUUACAUGUUCUUAUAAUUUUCAUUUGUGAUUCGUGAGUAUGGGACACUAUAAAAAAACCUGAAAAACCUCAUCGUAGCAAUUGAAUCAUGUUACUGUACUUUAUGAAGAAUUAGCCCCUUCAGGAUUAAUUACACAUGGGUUCAUCAGCACAUUUGUAAAGAAAGGAAGAAAAGCUGUAUGGCAUUUAUGAAAUUGGAAAAAUAAAGAACUAUAUAUAGGGAGACCACAGCGCAAUACUAGGGCAGUUCUCUUAUUUUAAAUAGACUCUGUGCGGUCGAGUGCCCGCAUUCCUACCCUAUCCUGCAGUAUUCUCAUCCUACUAUUUACUGCGUAUUUAGGUGGGGGAUUCUGAAUUCACUUGUCCACAGCAUUAGUGGGGAUGUUGUAACAUGAGGCUAUCCAUCAUCUGUCAUCUUAAUAAAUAAUGAAGAGAAGAGCCUUGGGAUCUGUGUUCAGAUACACUGCUGCUGAGUGUGCCUGCAAAGACACUGCCCACAGCGGUGGUCUCAGAAUGUUGAACGUGAUGCCACCACAGCUGCUGUUCACAGAUCUAGGUGCUCCUUGGGAUGUGAGUCUCCUGCUUAGAUUUGUGGUUGUGAACCUGCUAUGCUCACCCCAAUUGUGGUGCUAUCUUCUGUAUUGCCUUUUCUAUUCCAUUAGUUUCCUGGGAACUCACUGUGUAACUGCAAUUCGGAGACUAUGCAGGGAUUCCACCCCCACUACCUAAGUCACUGUACACUGGUCACAUUUGUGUCAUGUUGUCAGACUCCACGCUCUUCCUUUCCGAUGGAAUUUGUUGAAGAAGUAUAGUUACCUGUAGAUCUCCUCAGUCUAAUGCUGCUGGGAUUGAUUAUGAAGCUGGGCGGCCUCAUUGACAUUAUUCAAAAUACGUUUCCCAUAUUUUGAAGUUUGAUACUACUUUCUUAGUGUGAACAUUUGCCAUAGCAGACAGUUUUAAAUAUCUUUGUGAAUUUAAGUGUCAAAACAACUAAUGAAGUAGGCACAUGAUCCCCAUUUUACAGGUUCCUGCUAAUGAAGUGCAAAUAUUGAUGAAGAUAAUACUGCUGCCUUGCUGCCAAGCAAUAACAAUCGCCUUUUUUUGUAUCUCCAAUUAUAAAUGCAAUACAUAUUGUAAAAAGAAAGGAACACACCAUAAAUAUCUUUAUAAAGUAAAAGUCUUGGCUGGUGGCCAGGAGCGGUGGCUCAUGCCUGUAAUUCCAGCACUUUGUGAGGCCGAGGUGGGUGGAUCAUAAGGUCAGGAAUUUGAGACCAUCCUGGCCAACAUGGUUAAACCCCGUCUCUACUAAAAAAUACAAAAAUUAGCUGGGCGUGGUGGCGGGUGCCUGUUAUCCCAGCUACCCAGGAGGCUGAGCCAGGAGAAUCGCUUGAACCCAGGAGGUAGAGGUUGCAGUGAGCCGAGACCAUGCCACUGCACUCUAGCCUGGGCAACAGAGUGAGACUCCAUCUCAAAAACAAAACAAAACAAAAAGCCUCGGCUGGCCCAUUGGCUCAAUCCAAGCACUUUGAGAGCCCAAGGCAGGUGGAUUUUUUGAGCCCAGAAGCUCAAGACCAGUCUGGGCAACACGGUACAACCCUUUCUCUACAAAAAAUACAAAAAUCAUCCAGUUGUGGUGAGGUACACCUGUAUUCCCAGCUACUAGGGAGGCUGAGGUGGGAGGAUUGUUUGAGCCUGCAAGGCCAAGUUUGCAGUGAGCUGUAAUCAUGCCACUGUGCUUCCAUCUGGGCAACAAAGUGAGACCCUGUCUCAAAACAUAAAAACAUAAUAAACUGAAAAUCUCCCCUUUAUUCCCUUCCCUUCAAACUCACUUUUUUUUCCUCUGAAAAAACUGUUAAGAGGUUGUUUUUUAUUCUUCUGGCUAUGUUCUAUAAAUUACUUUUUUUUUUUUUCUUUGAGAGGGAUUCUCGCUCUGCUGCUCAGGCUGGAGUGCAGUGGCGUGAUCUCGGCUCACUGCAACCUCCGCCUCCCGGGUUCAGGCAAUUCUCCUGCCUCAGCCUUCUGAGUAGCUGGGACUACAGGCACCCGCACCACGCCUGGCCAUUUUUUUGUACUUUUAGUAGAGACAGGGUUUCGCCGUGUUAUCCAGGAUGAUCUCAAUCUCCUGACUUCGUGAUCUGCCCACCUCAGCCUCCCAGAGUGCUAGGAUUACAGGAGUGAGACACCGAGCCCGGCCUGUUCUAUAACUUUCUAAAUGAUACACAAAAACUUUAUUUUAAAAAUUACAUCAUACUACAUUGGUUUUAUAAUUUACUCUUUCUCUAGCUAUAUUUUAUCUAUCUACCUAUCAUCUAUGUAUGUAUGUAUGUAUGUAUGUAUGUAUCUAUCUAUCUAUCUAUCUAUCUAUCUAUCCAUCUAUCUAUGACAAGGCCUUAAUCUGUCACCCAGACAGUAGCUCAAUUAUGGCUCACUGCAGACUCAAACUCUCAGGCUCAAAUGAUUCUCUAACUUCAACUUCUGAAGUAGCUGGGAGUACAGGUGCAUGCCACUACACCAGGCUAAUUGUUAGUUUAGUUUUGUUUUUUUAAACAGGGUCUCACUGUGUCACCCAGGCUGGAAUGCAAUGGCACAAUCACAGCUCACCCUAGCCUUGACUACUCAGGCUCAGGCAAUUCUCCUGUCUCAGCCUCCUGAAUAGCUGGGACCACAAAUGUGUAUUAGCACACUUGGGUAUUUAUUAUUAUUAUUUAUAGAGACAGGAUCUCUGUAUGCUGCUCAGGCUUGUCAUGAACUCUUGGGCUUAAGCAAUCUGCUACCUCGGCCUCCCAAAGUGCUGGGAUUACAGGUAUGAGCAACAACAACUUACCCAGCCUUUUUAUUCUGUGUAAGAAUAGCUGAUGCUAUUCUAUAUUAAAAAUAUAAUGGAAAUUAUUUAUGGUGUCUUUUCAAUUCUUAUGCAUUAAAAUUCUCUUAUUAGAGCCUUUUAUUAAUGGUCAUAGUGUAUUUUCCAUAAAAUAUUACUGUCAUACACUACACGCCAGUGAUUCAAGAUACCUGAACUUCACGAAUGCACAGUCACAUUAGAAUACUGUAGUUAUCUAAAAAAAUAUUUUUAUAAAUGAUACAUCAAGUUUGCAUACAAGGUAGCUGGGUGUGGUGGCAGGUGCCUGUAAUCUCAGUGAAGGCUGAGGCAGGCGAAUGGCUUGAACCCGGGAGGCGAAGGUUGAAAUGAGCCAACAUCACGCCAUUGCACUUCAGCCUGGCUGACUGAGCGAGACUCUGUAUAAAAAAAAAAUAAAGUUUGCACACAAGAUUUUAUGAGGAAAUAUUUUUCUUAUUUUUCUUUACAAUUCCGUAUUAGUGUCUCAGUUAUUUAGAGUAGGUUCCAGGGCAGCAGUUGAUUUGUUUUGGGUUUUACCUACGUAUUAUAAUUUUGGAUGUUAUAAUUUCCAACUCUGCCUGUACACUUGAAGUCAAUGUGGAUUAAAAAAAAUUAAUAGUACAAACUCUUCAUAGAUUCAACUUCAUAAAGUUAAAAGCAGGGGCAGCUCCUGCUUUAAAAAGGGAAUAGUGGAAGGCAGCAUGCCAUUUUAUUUAAACUCGCAAGUUAGGUUUUUCAGAUGGAUGAUAGUUAAGAUCAUUCAAUCCCAUUCCUGCUUCUAAGUGUUCCACAAAAUAGCACAUUAAAUCCUCAGUCCUAAGAAAUCACGGCAGAGAUUCCAAAUUUCCUCUCAAUGUCAAGGUGAACAGCGCAGUUUUUUCUCUUGCAAUAAAGGUACAUCAUUUGAUACACAAGGGAGCGUAGCAGUCAGAUACUUACAAGAUUGUGUUGUAGAAAUAACUUCUGUGUUUCAUGCGCAAUAUGUAUCCUCACCUCUAUCUCCCAGUCAGUAACACUAUCAGUUUCCUCAUCUGUCCUUUCUACUUUCUUUAAAAGAGGAUGAUGAUUGCAGACAACACAUGACAGAGGCAUUUCAAAUCAGGAAGAGUUUCUUGAGAUAUACGUGAUAUUAGUUUUAAGCAGAAUUUCCUGAAGAGUUUUAGUUACAAUACCACAUUCAACAGGAUGAUGGUGAAACUCAUAGUAAACAUUUGGCAAAACUUAGAUUAUGGGGCAGCCAUCUCCUAGAAACACUUCAUCGGGGUUUGUAUAUGAAAUGUGAAAUAUCGUAGGUUUAAUCCUGGCACAGAAACAAAACUGAGUGCAUUGCACUUGAACAGCUGACCAAUCCCCAGCACAGGUCCAUGUCAAGAAACAGAGAAGAAAGAAUCCAUUUAACCCAUGAAAGGUCUUCAUUUGCCCAAAUUGAAAACCAAAUUUCUCUCAGGAAACUAAUGUUGGGUUUAAUUAAAAUAUAAAUCGGUCAUAUAUUUUCAAAAUUAAAUUAUAUAUGUGUUUGUUUGUCUCUAUAAAUAUGUCCCCAACUUUGCUUAUGGCUUAUCUUCUAUGUUUUUUGGCUGAUUUUCAAUGUUUGUCUUAUCUUGUGUAGAUGAGUAGUCAUUGAAAUAGUCUUAAUUUCACCAAGUGUUUAAUUAUAAAUCUAUACUUCCUUUGUGUUAGAGAAAAUAUUUUGUGAACAAAAUUUAAUUUUUGGAAAGAUUUAUAUUUUUUCUUUUAAAAAUUGUAAUUGUGGUAAAAACACAUAAUGCAAAAUUUACCAUCUUAAUUCUUUUUAAGUGCAUAUUUCAUUAGUGUUAAGUGCAUUCACAUAGUUAUGCAAAAGAUCUGUAGAACUUCUAUGUCUUGCAAAACUAAAAUGCCUUUUAAGACAGUUGCCCAUUUUGCUGUCUCUUCAGCCCUUUGACAAACACCAUUCUAAUUUUUGUUCCUGUGAGUUUGUCUACUUAAGAUACCUGAUUAUGAAUGGAAUCAUACACUGUCACUUUGUUCCUGGCUUAUUUCAAUUAACAUGAUAUUCUCAUGAAUUAUCAUAGAAUGUGACUUUUUAAAGACUGAAUAAUAUUCCACUUUGUGUAUAUGCCACUUGUUAUUAAUCUGUUCAUUGGUCAAGGGACAUCUGGGUUGUUUCUGCCUUUUGUCUUGUGUUAAUAAUGCUGUAAUAAAUUUGGGUGUGCAAAUAUCUCUUCCAGAUCAUGUGUUGCAUAUUUUAAAUACAUACGUAGAAGGGGGUUGCUAGAUUAUAUAAUAAUCUCAUUUUAAAUUUUUUGAAGAGGUUUCUUACUGUUUUAAAAAUAGGUUUGAGGUGAUAGAUUAUUGUGACUUUGCUUUGCAUUUUUCUAGUAGAGUAAUGUCGAGUAUCCUUUUAAAUGCCUAGCCAUUUGCAUGUCUUCUUUGGAGAAAUGUCAUUUCAAACAUUUGCCAUUCUAAAUCAAGUUAUUAACUUUUUGUUGUUGUUGAGUUUUAGGAGUUUAUAUAUUUUGAAAAUUAACACCUACCAAAUAUGUGAUUAGAAAAUAUUUUUACUCUUUUUUAUUACAUGUAUGUAUGUAUGUAUGUAUGCACGUAUAUAACCCUAUACAAAAUAGGGUCUUGCUAUGUUUUCAUGACUAGUCUCAAAUUUUGGGCUCAAGUGAUCAUUCUGCCUUGACCUCCUAGAGAUCUAGAGUUAUAGACACGAGCCACCAUGUCCCGCUUUCAUCCACUUAUUAAGUGACAUUUGUAUGCCACUAAAUGUUUUCUUUGAUAUGUAGAAUAGUUGAAGCUUAAUAUUGUCCCCCUUUUUUUUGUUGUUCUUUUCCUUGUCGCUUAUGCAUUUGAUGUCAUACUUAGGCAAAGAGUUUUAAGAUUUAUGUCAUAAAGUUUUCCCCUAUGUUUACUUCUAAGAAUUUUAUUAGUUUUUAUGUUUAAAUAUUGAAUCCAUUAAAAAAACUUUUCUUUUUAUAUAUGGUACAAAGGAAGCAUUCAACUUAAUUUUUUUCUCUGUAAAUAUUCAACUUUGAAAAUUCUUUGUUAAAGAGAUUCUUAUUUUUCUAUUGUGUGGUCAUGGAAAGCUUGUGGAAGAUUAUUUUAUCAUGUUUGUAAGGGUUUAUUUCUGGGAUGUCUGUUAUUCUGUUUCAUCAUCUAUGUAUCUGUUUUUGUGGCAAUACCAUAUUGUUUUUAUUUUUGUAGCUUUGUAUCAUGACUUUAAAUCAGAAAGUGUAAUGUCUCUUUGUUCUUUUUAAAGGGUGUUUGGCUAGUCAUAGUUCCUAAACAACUUUUAGAAUUAUAAACAAAAAUUCUGCAUAAUAACAUACCAUUGGGAUUUUGAUAAAAAUUACAUUAUAUUUUUAUAUCAUCAUGACUAGUACUGACAACUUUUUUUUUCUUUUUGGAGUAGGAGUUUUAAUCAGUCACUCAGGCUGAAGGGCAGUGAUGUGAGCUGUGCUCACUACAAGCUCCGCUUCCCAGGUUCAAGCAGUUCUCCAGUCUCAGCCACCCGAGUAGCUGGGAUUACAGUCAUGAACCAUCACGUCUAGCUAACUUUUGUAUUUUUAGUAAAGAUGGGGUUUUGCCAUGUUGGCCAGGCUAGUCUCAAACUUCUGACCUCAAGUGAUCCACCCACUUUGGCCUCUCAAAGUCCUAGGACUACGGGCGUGAGCCACUGCGCUGGCAUUGACAUUUUAACAAUAUUAAAUCACCUGACACUGGAGCAAGGCUAUAUGUAAGAUUUUGCUUAAUUUCCUCUUAUUUACAUAUUUGCCUCUUUUUCUUGCUUUUGAUUUCUAGUUUCGUUUACAUUGUAUGACUUCAGUUUUCUUAAAUUUAACAAGACGGGUACCCUUACAGAAUGUACCAUGUGUGAUUGAUUGAGAAUACUUCAUAUGUUGCUGCUUUCGAUUGCAAAGUUCUGUAAAUGCUGGUUAGGUCUAUAAUGUUCAGGUUUUGCUUUCUUACUGGUAUUAUAUCUGACUAUUCUAGUCAUGAUUGAAAGUGGAGUCUUGAAGUCCACAAUUGUUGUGUUGCUAUAUAUUUCUUGCUUCACUUCUGUCAAUAUUUGUUUUACAUAUUUGAAACACAAGAAUCAGUUGAACCUGGGAGGAGGAGGUUGCAGUGAGCUGAUCACGAGAUUGUGCCACUGCCAUCCAGCCUGGGAGACAGAAACUCUGUCUCAGAAAAAAAAAAAAGAAAGAAACAUGUCAGUGCUAUUUAUAGAUUUAUAGUAAUAUAAAAAUUUAAUGUAAUUUUUAUCAAAAUCCCAGUGGUAUAUUUUUGCAGAUUUUUCAAAUUAUAUAUAUAUGAUUUAUAAAUUAUUGUUAUAAAUUCCUUGCAAGUUAAUCCAUCUCACUAUUACAUAAUGCCAAUCUGUCUCUUGUUAACAUUUUUGACUUAAAAUGUAUUUUGUUUAAUACAAUUAUGACCACGCAUCUCCAAUUGUAGCUCCUCUUUCCAUAAAAUAUAUUUUCUUUAAA
This is a long non-coding RNA of Pongo pygmaeus (Bornean orangutan), 8412 nucleotides long. RefSeq lists it as uncharacterized. The transcript is spliced from 2 exons. Lineage: Eukaryota; Metazoa; Chordata; Mammalia; Primates; Hominidae. The record is from RefSeq and is a predicted model, not a curated record.